UACAGAGGUCCCAAGCGUUGUUCGGAUUCACUGGGCGUAAAGGGUGCGUAGGCGGUCGGGUAAGUCUGAUGUGAAAUCUCACAGCUUAACUGUGAAACUGCAUUGGAUACUAUCCGGCUCGAGGAAUGGAGGGGAGACUGGAAUACUUGGUGUAGCAGUGAAAUGCGUAGAUAUCAAGUGGAACACCAGUGGCGAAGGCGAGUCUCUAGACAUUUCCUGACGCUGAGGCACGAAAGCCAGGGGGAGCAAACGGG
RNAcentral lists this ribosomal RNA (254 nucleotides) under uncultured bacterium. RNAcentral's name for it is "partial 16S ribosomal RNA". It matches the Rfam family "Bacterial small subunit ribosomal RNA", at positions 524 to 776 of the family's 1533-position model. The record is from RNAcentral.